GAUGAACGCUGGCGGCGUGCCUAAUACAUGCAAGUCGAGCGAACAGACAAGGAGCUUGCUCCUUUGACGUUAGCGGCGGACGGGUGAGUAACACGUGGAUAACCUACCUAUAAGACUGGGAUAACUUCGGGAAACCGGAGCUAAUACCGGAUAACAUGUUGAACCGCAUGGUUCAACAGUGAAAGACGGUCUUGCUGUCACUUAUAGAUGGAUCCGCGCCGCAUUAGCUAGUUGGUAAGGUAACGGCUUACCAAGGCAACGAUGCGUAGCCGACCUGAGAGGGUGAUCGGCCACACUGGAACUGAGACACGGUCCAGACUCCUACGGGAGGCAGCAGUAGGGAAUCUUCCGCAAUGGGCGAAAGCCUGACGGAGCAACGCCGCGUGAGUGAAGAAGGUCUUCGGAUCGUAAAACUCUGUUAUUAGGGAAGAACAAAUGUGUAAGUAACUAUGCACGUCUUGACGGUACCUAAUCAGAAAGCCACGGCUAACUACGUG
RNAcentral lists this ribosomal RNA (497 nucleotides) under uncultured bacterium. RNAcentral's name for it is "partial 16S ribosomal RNA". It matches the Rfam family "Bacterial small subunit ribosomal RNA", at positions 28 to 507 of the family's 1533-position model. The record is from RNAcentral.